Molecule: non-coding RNA, 352 nt
Organism: Pelobates cultripes (western spadefoot toad)
Lineage: Eukaryota; Metazoa; Chordata; Amphibia; Anura; Pelobatidae
Source: the annotation of a GenBank genome assembly
AUGAUAUUUAUAGAGCGCCGUCAAAUUCCGCAGCGCUUUACAAUGGGUGGACGAACAGACAUGUAGUUGUAACCAGACAAGUUGGACACACAGGAACAGAGGGGUUGAGGGCCCUGCUCAAUGAGCUCACAUGCUAGAGGGAGUGGGGUAAAAUGACACAAAAAGGUAAGGAUAGUAUUAAUGCUAAUUUAAUGUUAAUUUAAUUUAAGAGUUAAUGCUAAUUUAAAUCUUGGGGAUUAAAAGAGUGCCAACUGGUCCCAUCAUUUUAUGUAUUUAUAGCCUUGUUUUAAAGCCCAAGCAUGAGCUGGGAAAGAUCACUGAGGAGGUUUAAGGAUGGAUCCAGCUGCUGUUU